CGCACAUUGCGCCCUUUGGUAUUCCGAAGGGCAUGCCUGUUCGAGCGUCAUUAUCACCUCUCAAGCCUGGCUUGUUGUUGGAUUAGGUCUUGCUUUAAGCAUAACCGGUCCCAAAGAUAAUGACGGCGUCUGUGAGGACCCCAGUACACUGAGCUUUCUAAGCACGUAUUAGGUGGAAGUCCAGGCCCGGUCUUACUUAUGUUUUUCUAAGGUUGACCUCGGAUCAGGUAGGAAUACCCGCUGAACUUAA
RNAcentral lists this unclassified non-coding RNA (250 nucleotides) under Chaetothyriales sp. RNAcentral describes it as "partial contains 5.8S ribosomal RNA, internal transcribed spacer 2, and large subunit ribosomal RNA". The record is from RNAcentral. Lineage: Eukaryota; Fungi; Ascomycota; Eurotiomycetes; Chaetothyriales.